AUAAAGUUUCCAAACUGACCAAAGACCAACGAAUGACUUCUGAAGAAGGGUGGAUUUAUUUGUAGUUUAGUUAAACAAUAAUUUGCCCCGUCAGUGAUAUGGUUUGAAUGCUGCCUGAACGUUCCGAAUUUGGCAGACACGGUGAGGACAUUGCUGAGGAAAAUUGCCACAAACAAAGUCCUGGAGCAGCUUGGCCUCCGUGGAAAGUCAGGAAAAGUGGCGUUUGAGGACUUGCCCCUUUACAGAAUAAUAAAUAAGGCAUGCAGGGGUGUUUACAAGCAGACGACCACAGCUGAAGUGGAUUGUGAGCUUGGAGAGGUCCUGAAACUGGCCACUUUUCGAAAGGGAGGUUCAAAAUUUGAGGAGAAGAGGAGGAAUUAAGAGGGAGGACAAAAAAGGAAAAAGAAACAAGCAAAAGAACAGAGUGAGAUGAGAGGAUUUGGGUUUCCCUGCUUGGGCGGCUGCCCCCGCGACCCGACCUCGGAUAAGCAGAAGAA
Molecule: long non-coding RNA, 497 nt
Organism: Entelurus aequoreus (snake pipefish)
Lineage: Eukaryota; Metazoa; Chordata; Actinopteri; Syngnathiformes; Syngnathidae
Exons: 4
Source: RefSeq, a predicted model, not a curated record